GGAAUAUUGCCCAAUGGACGAAAGUCUGAGGCAGCAACGCCGCGUGAGCGAUGAAGGCCUUCGGGUUGUAAAGCUCUUUUAUGAAGGAAUAGCAAGGACUGUACUUCAUGAAUAAGGAUCGGCUAACUACGUGCCAGCAGCCGCGGUAACACGUAGGAUCCAAGCGUUAUCCGGAUUUACUGGGCGUAAAGCGCGUGCAGGUGGUUUGUUAAGUUGGGUGUUAAAUCUCUCGGCUCAACUGAGGGGUGUCGCUCAAAACUAGCAGACUGGAGGAUGGUAGAGGAUGGCGGAAUUCCGGGUGUAGUGGUGAAAUGCGUAGAUAUCCGGAGGAACACCAGUGGCGAAGGCGGCCAUCUGGACCAUUCCUGACACUCAAACGCGAAAGCUAGGGGAGCAAA
Molecule: ribosomal RNA, 398 nt
Filed under: uncultured bacterium
Lineage: Bacteria
Description: bacterial SSU rRNA
Rfam family: Bacterial small subunit ribosomal RNA
Source: RNAcentral